CGGCCCACGGGGCGGGACAUGCGGAUUAAUUCGAUGCAACGCGAAGAACCUUACCAAGGCUUGACAUGGACCGGACCGCCGCAGAAAUGUGGUUUCCCCUUUGGGGCUGGUUUACAGGUGGUGCAUGGUUGUCGUCAGCUCGUGUCGUGAGAUGUUGGGUUAAGUCCCGCAACGAGCGCAACCCUCGUUCUAUGUUGCCAGCACGUGAUGGUGGGGACUCAUAGGAGACUGCCGGGGUCAACUCGGAGGAAGGUGGGGACGACGUCAAAUCAUCAUGCCCCUUAUGUCUUGGGCUUCACGCAUGCUACAAUGGCCGGUACAAAGGGUUGCGAUACUGUGAGGUGGAGCUAAUCCCAAAAAGCCGGUCUCAGUUCGGAUUGGGGUCUGCAACUCGACCCCAUGAAGUCGGAGUCGCUAGUAAUCGCAGAUCAGCAACGCUGCGGUGAAUACGUUCCCGGGCCUUGUACAACCCGCCCGUA
This 479-nucleotide ribosomal RNA is filed under the name Arthrobacter sp. TF4. RNAcentral describes it as "bacterial SSU rRNA". It matches the Rfam family "Bacterial small subunit ribosomal RNA", at positions 921 to 1398 of the family's 1533-position model. The record is from RNAcentral. Lineage: Bacteria; Bacillati; Actinomycetota; Actinomycetes; Micrococcales; Micrococcaceae.